CUCAUUCUUUCUCUCUCUUCAACCUUACGCUCAGCAUUCCUCUCUCUUCAACCUUACGCUCAUAAGGAGCUUUACAGAAACCCUAAAAAAAUUCUUCUCUCUUGGAGAAGACGACCGGAGGCGGCGGCUCACGGCGGAGCCUCCGUCCAUCCCCGGUAACCCUAUCCAAAACGUGACCUAAACCACUACCUACAACCUCCCGAGUUCGAAUCUGGACUCUGAGAUCCCUAAACCAAACUCAAGGUGUUUGCAUGUUGCGAUUUAAAGCGAAAUAAAAGGGAUUCGUUAUAUUUACCACGGCGAAGGAGGUGGGUGGUGGCUUCAGGUGAAGAAGGAACGCUUUGAUCCGAGUCCGUCGUCGGCAACCCGUUGCAGUUUCGGAUAAGUUUUCUUUCUCAACUCGGAUAAGUUUUCUUCCUCAACCUGCUUCUUUGUUUGUUUUCCAUUUUUUAAUGAUUGUAUGGAUUGUUGUUGGUGCUUGGCUUGAAACUUAGGGUUUGGAUGUUUUAUGAACUGUUGUUUUGAUUAUUGCUUCAUAGAUUUUUUCAGAAUGUGUUCUUUGGUUUGAGUUUAACAGCCAAAAUGUUUUUGAUUGUUUUAUGGGAUUUCCAAAAUGUUUCUUCUGUUUCUUUGGAGUUAACAGAAAAAAAAUACUUUGACAAUUUUCUUCUGGAUUUCAUCCAAAAACCCUCCUUUUUUUACUGUUAAUUUGUUGUUGUUAUAUAUGUGAUGAAUGUUGAGGUUCUGAGAUAACUUGUUAAGUUAUCCUUUUUCCAGAUUUUGUGGGAUAAUUACCUUAUGGAUUUAAGGUUAUUGAUGUGGAUAUUGCAAAGUGUUCUUGAGUGUUCUCCUUGGUUUACUGUGUUUGCAUAAAGUGAAUGGACAUUGAUUGAAAAUUGGUUUGCUUUUGGAUUUGGGGCCCUGUAAUUAGGGAUUGAAAUUGGGUGCUUGGGAAUUUCAAGAAGCUUUUGGAAAAGUCUUUUGAAGAGUUGCUUCAAACUGCUGUAUUUUACCGCUUAUCUCCAACUUUUCAACCUAGCUGUAACAUAACUUUUGGGCAUGUUAUACAUUUUAAUUUUAAACAAAAAUUUAUUGUGAUAAUUAUGUAAAUACUUUGGAUUAUUAUAUAAACUUGGAAUUAAUUGGAACUUUGGAUUA
Long non-coding RNA from Lathyrus oleraceus (garden pea), 1158 nucleotides. RefSeq lists it as uncharacterized. NCBI's taxonomy places the organism in Eukaryota, Viridiplantae, Streptophyta, Magnoliopsida, Fabales, Fabaceae. The record is from RefSeq and is a predicted model, not a curated record. The transcript is spliced from 2 exons.